Long non-coding RNA from Lolium rigidum, 530 nucleotides. RefSeq lists it as uncharacterized. The record is from RefSeq and is a predicted model, not a curated record. The transcript is spliced from 5 exons. Lineage: Eukaryota; Viridiplantae; Streptophyta; Magnoliopsida; Poales; Poaceae.
UCAAAUUAAGGAGCUCAUCCCUGGUUCGCCGACCUGCGCCUCCACCUAGACUUCUUCCUGUUGAUGGUCGCCGCCGCCCACCACCACAAGCCUAAAACUGCGAUUGCAUUCCAACGGGUGAAGCUGGAUGAUGUUAAGCUUGCUCAUGAAAGACUUGCAGGAUAAAAUCAUAUUGGACCAAGGGUGGUGCGGACUCUGCCAAGGCAACAUGAUGAGAUUCUUGGCCAAGUUAGAGCAAGGCUUUACACACGACAAGACCAAUAAGAAGCAUGGUGGUGGUGCUGCUGUCAUCCGAAUCUGCUGCUGCCGGUGUCCACUAAGAGGCCUCCUGCCCCUGCCUUCUUCUACCGGGACCUCUCUUAUGUUUCACCCUUCGCCGUGUCCUCCUACACGACGCUGCUCCAACGAUACAAGCAAUCUUCGAGGUUCACAUAAAGGAGCUCAUCGCUGGUUCGCCAACCUGCGCCUCCACCUCAACUAUUACGUCGCUGGCACAUGGCCUCCUCCACUUCUUCCUGAUGAUGGUUGCC